This 206-nucleotide ribosomal RNA is filed under the name uncultured bacterium. RNAcentral describes it as "partial 16S ribosomal RNA". It matches the Rfam family "Bacterial small subunit ribosomal RNA", at positions 1287 to 1500 of the family's 1533-position model. The record is from RNAcentral.
CUCAGUUCGGAUCGAAGUCUGCAACCCGACUUCGUGAAGCUGGAUUCGCUAGUAAUCGCGCAUCAGCCAUGGCGCGGUGAAUACGUUCCCGGGCCUUGUACACACCGCCCGUCAAGCCAUGAAAGCCGGGGGUACCUGAAGUACGUAACCGCAAGGAUCGUCCUAGGGUAAAACUGGUAAUUGGGGCUAAGUCGUAACAAGGUAUC